RNAcentral lists this ribosomal RNA (498 nucleotides) under uncultured bacterium. RNAcentral describes it as "bacterial SSU rRNA". It matches the Rfam family "Bacterial small subunit ribosomal RNA", at positions 355 to 852 of the family's 1533-position model. The record is from RNAcentral.
UAGGGAAUAUUGGACAAUGGGUGCAAGCCUGAUCCAGCCAUGCCGCGUGCAGGAAGAAGGCUUUCUGAGUUGUAAACUGCUUUUGCCAGGGGAUAAAAAAGGCGUGCGCGCUUAAUUGAAGGUACCUGGUGAAUAAGCCACGGCUAACUACGUGCCAGCAGCCGCGGUAAUACGUAGGUGGCAAGCGUUGUCCGGAUUUAUUGGGUUUAAAGGGUGCGUAGGGCGGGUUUCUUAAGUCAGUGGUGAAAUACGGCAGCUCAACUGUCGAGGUGCCAUUGAUACUGGGAGACUUGAGUACUGAUGAGGUAGGCGGAAUGGACGGUGUAGCGGUGAAAUGCUUAGAUAUCGUCCAGAACACCGAUAGCGAAGGCAGCUUACUAAGGAGUAACUGACGCUGAGGCACGAAAGUGUGGGGAUCAAACAGGAUUAGAUACCCUGGUAGUCCACACUGUAAACGAUGAUCACUCGAUGUUGGCGAUAUACGGCCAGCGUCUUAGC